Long non-coding RNA from Anopheles funestus (African malaria mosquito), 7602 nucleotides. RefSeq lists it as uncharacterized. The transcript is spliced from 4 exons. NCBI's taxonomy places the organism in Eukaryota, Metazoa, Arthropoda, Insecta, Diptera, Culicidae. The record is from RefSeq and is a predicted model, not a curated record.
AUGGCCGUCCACGAAGAAAAUGUAGCCAUUGGUGCCAUCUAUCGACCACAGGUUAAAGAUUGGCGAUCCGUUGGAUACCGACCGAGCUAUAGGCAAAACUUGGUGCGAAAAUGAGCCUUAGUGGAUUGACAAAUUUAUAGAUUUUUUCAAUUUUUUUCAUUAUUUUUUACCUUUUUUUAAUUUAAAGCAUUGUUUGAGUGAAAAGGAACUAAUUGCAACAAUUUCGCAUUAAAAUAAAACAAAUUUUUAAAUUUUGCUAAAUUUCUCAAAAAAAUGGCAAGGGGUACCCCUUAUGAAAUUUUCGAGUGGAAAAUUUUUUUGAAAUUUUUUUCUGAUUUUUUAUUCUUUUUUUAAUUUGAAGCAUUAUUUGAGUGAAAAGAAACUUAUUGCAACAAAUUCGCAAUGAAAUAUAUCACAUUUAAAAAUUUUGCUGAAUUGCAGAAAAAUGAGGAACAUUUUACAUUUUCUCAAACAGGGUAAGGAACUUGGUUCCUCGCAUAACUUCUGGCACAGACAUCUGAGGGCAUGGCCGUCCAAGAAGAAAAUGUAGCCAUUGGUGCCAUCUAUCGACCAUAGGCAAAGAUUGGAGAUCCGUUAGAUACCGACCGAGUUAUAGGCAAAAUUUGGUGCAAAAAUGAGGAACAUUUUACAUUUUCUCAAACAGGAUAAGGAACUUGGUUCCUCGCAUAACUUCUGGCACAGACAUCUGAGGGCAUGGCCGUCUACGAAGAAAAUGUAGCCAUUGGUGCCAUCUAUCGACCACAGGUUAAAGAUUGGAGAUCCGUUAGAUACCGACCGAGUUAUAGGCAAAACUUGGUGCGAAAAUGGGCCUUAGUGGAUUGACAAAUUUAUAGAUUUUUUCAAUUUUUUUCAUUAUUUUUUACCUUUUUUUAAUUUAAAGCAUUGUUUGAGUGAAAAGGAACUAAUUGCAAUAAUUUCGCAUUAAAAUAAAACAAAUUUUUAAAUUUUGCUAAAUUUCUCAAAGAAAUGACAAGGGGUACCCCUUAUGAAAUUUUCGAGUGGAAAAUUUUUUUGAAAUUUUUUUCUGAUUUUUUAUUCUUUUUUUAAUUUGAAGCAUUAUUUGAGUGGAAAGAAACUUAUUGCAACAAACUCGCAAUGAAAUAUAUCACAUUUAAAAAUUUUGCUGAAUUGCAGAAAAUGAGGAACAUUUUACAUUUUCUCAAACAGGGUAAGGAACUUGGUUCCUCGCAUAACUUCUGGCACAGACAUCUGAGGGCAUGGCCGUCCAAGAAGAAAAUGUAGCCAUUGGUGCCAUCUAUCGACCAUAGGCAAAGAUUGGAGAUCCGUUAGAUACCGACCGAGUUAUAGGCAAAAUUUGGUGCAAAAAUGAGGAACAUUUUACAUUUUCUCAAACAGGGUAAGGAACUUGGUUCCUCGCAUAACUUCUGGCACAGACAUCUGAGGGCAUGGCCGUCCAAGAAGAAAAAGUAGCCAUUGAUGCCAUCUAUCGACCACAGGCAAAGAUUGGCGAUCCGUUAGAUACCGACCGAGCUAUAGGCAAAACUUGGUGCGAAAAUGAGCCUUAGUGGAUUGACAAAUUUAUAGAUUUUUUCAAUUUUUUUCAUUAUUUUUUACCUUUUUUUAAUUUAAAGCAUUGUUUGAGUGAAAAGGAACUAAUUGCAACAAUUUCGCAUUAAAAUAAAACAAAUUUUUAAAUUUUGCUAAAUUUCUCAAAAAAAUGGCAAGGGGUACCCCUUAUGAAAUUUUCGAGUGGAAAAUUUUUUUGAAAUUUUUUUCUGAUUUUUUAUUCUUUUUUUAAUUUGAAGCAUUAUUUGAGUGAAAAGAAACUUAUUGCAACAAAUUCGCAAUGAAAUAUAUCACAUUUAAAAAUUUUGCUGAAUUGCAGAAAAAUGAGGAACAUUUUACAUUUUCUCAAACAGGGUAAGGAACUUGGUUCCUCGCAUAACUUCUGGCACAGACAUCUGAGGGCAUGGCCGUCCAAGAAGAAAAUGUAGCCAUUGGUGCCAUCUAUCGACCAUAGGCAAAGAUUAGAGAUCCGUUAGAUACCGACCGAGUUAUAGGCAAAAUUUGGUGCAAAAAUGAGGAACAUUUUACAUUUUCUCAAACAGGGUAAGGAACUUGGUUCCUCGCAUAACUUCUGGCACAGACAUCUGAGGGCAUGGCCGUCCAAGAAGAAAAAGUAGCCAUUGAUGCCAUCUAUCGACCACAGGCAAAGAUUGGAGAUCCGUUAGAUACCGACCGAGUUAUAGGCAAAACUUGGUGCGUAAAUGAGCCUUAGUGGAUUGACAAAUUUAUAGAUUUUUUCAAUUUUUUUCAUUAUUUUUUACCUUUUUUUAAUUUAAAGCAUUGUUUGAGUGAAAAGGAACUAAUUGCAACAAUUUCGCAUUAAAAUAAAACAAAUUUUUAAAUUUUGCUAAAUUUCUCAAAAAAAUGGCAAGGGGUACCCCUUAUGAAAUUUUCGAGUGGAAAAUUUUUUUGAAAUUUUUUUCUGAUUUUUUAUUCUUUUUUUAAUUUGAAGCAUUAUUUGAGUGGAAAGAAACUUAUUGCAACAAACUCGCAAUGAAAUAUAUCACAUUUAAAAAUUUUGCUGAAUUGCAGAAAAAUGAGGAACAUUUUACAUUUUCUCAAACAGGGUAAGGAACUUGGUUCCUCGCAUAACUUCUGGCACAGACAUCUGAGGGCAUGGCCGUCCAAGAAGAAAAUGUAGCCAUUGGUGCCAUCUAUCGACCACAGGCAAAGAUUGGAGAUCCGUUAGAUACCGACCGAGUUAUAGGCAAAACUUGGUGCAAAAAUGAGGAACAUUUUACAUUUUCUCAAACAGGGUAAGGAACUUGGUUCCUCGCAUAACUUCUGGCACAGACAUCUGAGGGCAUGGCCGUCCAAGAAGAAAUUGUAGCCAUUGGUGCCAUUUAUUGACCACAGGUUAAAGAUUGGCGAUCCGUUAGAUACCGACCGAGUUAUAGGCAAAACUUGGUGGGAAAAUGAGCCUUAGUGGAUUGACAAAUUUAUAGAUUUUUUCAAUUUUUUUCAUUAUUUUUUACCUUUUUUUAAUUUAAAGCAUUGUUUGAGUGAAAAGGAACUAAUUGCAACAAUUUCGCAUUAAAAUAAAACAAAUUUUUAAAUUUUGCUAAAUUUCUCAAAAAAAUGGCAAGGGGUACCCCUUAUGAAAUUUUCGAGUGGAAAAUUUUUUUGAAAUUUUUUUCUGAUUUUUUAUUCUUUUUUUAAUUUGAAGCAUUAUUUGAGUGAAAAGAAACUUAUUGCAACAAAUUCGCAAUGAAAUAUAUCACAUUUAAAAAUUUUGCUGAAUUGCAGAAAAAUGAGGAACAUUUUACAUUUUCUCAAACAGGGUAAGGAACUUGGUUCCUCGCAUAACUUCUGGCACAGACAUCUGAGGGCAUGGCCGUCCAAGAAGAAAAUGUAGCCAUUGGUGCCAUCUAUCGACCAUAGGCAAAGAUUGGAGAUCCGUUAGAUACCGACCGAGUUAUAGGCAAAAUUUGGUGCAAAAAUGAGGAACAUUUUACAUUUUCUCAAACAGGAUAAGGAACUUGGUUCCUCGCAUAACUUCUGGCACAGACAUCUGAGGGCAUGGCCGUCCAAGAAGAAAAUGUAGCCAUUGGUGCCAUCUAUCGACCACAGGUUAAAGAUUGGAGAUCCGUUAGAUACCGACCGAGUUAUAGGCAAAACUUGGUGCAAAAAUGAGGAACAUUUUACAUUUUCUCAAACAGGGUAUGGAACUUGGUUCCUCGCAUAACUUCUGGCACAGACAUCUGAGGGCAUGGCCGUCCAAGAAGAAAAUGUAGCCAUUGGUGCCAUCUAUCGACCAUAGGCAAAGAUUGGAGGUCCGUUAUAUACCGACCGAGUUAUAGGCAAAAUUUGGUGCAAAAAUGAGGAACAUUUUACAUUUUCUCAAACAGGGUAAGGAACUUGGUUCCUCGCAUAACUUCUGGCACAGACAUCUGAGGGCAUGGCCGUCCAAGAAGAAAAUGUAGCCAUUGGUGCCAUCUAUCGACCACAGGCAAAGAUUGGAGAUCCGUUAGAUACCGACCGAGUUAUAGGCAAAACUUGGUGCAAAAAUGAGGAACAUUUUACAUUUUCUCAAACAGGGUAAGGAACUUGGUUCCUCGCAUAACUUCUGGCACAGACAUCUGAGGGCAUGGCCGUCUACGAAGAAAAUGUAGCCAUUGAUGCCAUCUAUCGACCACAGGCAAAGAUUGGAGAUCCGUUGGAUACCGACCGAGUUAUAGGCAAAACUUGGUGUGAAAAUGAGCCUUAGUGGAUUGACAAAUUUAUAGAUUUUUUCAAUUUUUUUCAUUAUUUUUUACCUUUUUUUAAUUUAAAGCAUUGUUUGAGUGAAAAGGAACUAAUUGCAACAAUUUCGCAUUAAAAUAAAAUAAAUUUAUAAAUUUUGCUAAAUUUCUCAAAAAAAUGGCAAGGGGUACCCCUUAUGAAAUUUUCGAGUGGAAAAUUUUUUUGAAAUUUUUUUCUGAUUUUUUAUUCUUUUUUUAAUUUGAAGCAUUAUUUGAGUGAAAAGAAACUUAUUGCAACAAAUUCGCAAUGAAAUAUAUCACAUUUAAAAAUUUUGCUGAAUUGCAGAAAAAUGAGGAACAUUUUACAUUUUCUCAAACAGGGUAAGGAACUUGGUUCCUCGCAUAACUUCUGGCACAGACAUCUGAGGGCAUGGCCGUCCAAGAAGAAAAUGUAGCCAUUGGUGCCAUCUAUCGACCAUAGGCAAAGAUUGGAGGUCCGUUAUAUACCGACCGAGUUAUAGGCAAAAUUUGGUGCAAAAAUGAGGAACAUUUUACAUUUUCUCAAACAGGGUAAGGAACUUGGUUCCUCGCAUAACUUCUGGCACAGACAUCUGAAGCCAUGGCCGUCCAAGAAGAAAAUGUAGCCAUUGGUGCCAUCUAUCGACCAUAGGCAAAGAUUGGAGGUCCGUUUUAUACCGACCGAGUUAUAGGCAAAAUUUGGUGCAAAAAUGAGGAAAAUUUUACAUUUUCUCAAACAGGGUAAGGAACUUGGUUCCUCGCAUAACUUCUGGCACAGACAUCUGAGGGCAUGGCCGUCCAAGAAGAAAUUGUAGCCAUUGGUGCCAUUUAUCGACCACAGGUUAAAGAUUGACGAUCCGUUAGAUACCGACCGAGCUAUAGGCAAAACUUGGUGCCAAAAUGAGCCUUAGUGGAUUGACAAAUUUAUAGAUUUUUUCAAUUUUUUUCAUUAUUUUUUACCUUUUUUUAAUUUAAAGCAUUGUUUGAGUGAAAAGGAACUAAUUGCAACAAUUUCGCAUUAAAAUAAAACAAAUUUUUAAAUUUUGCUAAAUUUCUCAAAAAAAUGGCAAGGGGUACCCCUUAUGAAAUUUUCGAGUGGAAAAUUUUUUUGAAAUUUUUUUCUGAUUUUUUAUUCUUUUUUUUAAUUUGAAGCAUUAUUUGAGUGAAAAGAAACUUAUUGCAACAAAUUCGCAAUGAAAUAUAUCACAUUUAAAAAUUUUGCUGAAUUGCAGAAAAAUGAGGAACAUUUUACAUUUUCUCAAACAGGGUAAGGAACUUGGUUCCUCGCAUAACUUCUGGCACAGACAUCUGAGGGCAUGGCCGUCCAAGAAGAAAAUGUAGCCAUUGGUGCCAUCUAUCGACCAUAGGCAAAGAUUGGAGAUCCGUUAGAUACCGACCGAGUUAUAGGCAAAAUUUGGUGCAAAAAUGAGGAACAUUUUACAUUUUCUCAAACAGGAUAAGGAACUUGGUUCCUCGCAUAACUUCUGGCACAGACAUCUGAGGGCAUGGCCGUCUACGAAGAAAAGGUAGCCAUUGGUGCCAUCUAUCGACCACAGGUUAAAGAUUGGAGAUCCGUUAGAUACCGACCGAGUUAUAGGCAAAACUUGGUGCGAAAAUGGGCCUUAGUGGAUUGACAAAUUUAUAGAUUUUUUCAAUUUUUUUCAUUAUUUUUUACCUUUUUUUAAUUUAAAGCAUUGUUUGAGUGAAAAGGAACUAAUUGCAAUAAUUUCGCAUUAAAAUAAAACAAAUUUUUAAAUUUUGCUAAAUUUCUCAAAGAAAUGACAAGGGGUACCCCUUAUGAAAUUUUCGAGUGGAAAAUUUUUUUGAAAUUUUUUUCUGAUUUUUUAUUCUUUUUUUAAUUUGAAGCAUUAUUUGAGUGGAAAGAAACUUAUUGCAACAAACUCGCAAUGAAAUAUAUCACAUUUAAAAAUUUUGCUGAAUUGCAGAAAAAUGAGGAACAUUUUACAUUUUCUCAAACAGGGUAAGGAACUUGGUUCCUCGCAUAACUUCUGGCACAGACAUCUGAGGGCAUGGCCGUCCAAGAAGAAAAUGUAGCCAUUGGUGCCAUCUAUCGACCAUAGGCAAAGAUUGGAGAUCCGUUAGAUACCGACCGAGUUAUAGGCAAAAUUUGGUGCAAAAAUGAGGAACAUUUUACAUUUUCUCAAACAGGGUAAGGAACUUGGUUCCUCGCAUAACUUCUGGCACAGACAUCUGAGGGCAUGGCCGUCCAAGAAGAAAAAGUAGCCAUUGAUGCCAUCUAUCGACCACAGGCAAAGAUUGGCGAUCCGUUAGAUACCGACCGAGUUAUAGGCAAAACUUGGUGCAAAAAUGAGGAACAUUUUACAUUUUCUCAAACAGGGUAAGGAACUUGGUUCCUUGCAUAACUUCUGGCACAGACAUCUGAGGGCAUGGCCGUCCAAGAAGAAAAUGUAGCCAUUGGUGCCAUCUAUCGACCAUAGGCAAAGAUUGGAGAUCCGUUAGAUACCGACCGAGUUAUAGGCAAAAUUUGGUGCAAAAAUGAGGAAAAUUUUACAUUUUCUCAAACAGGGUAAGGAACUUCGUUCCUCGCAUACCUUCUGGCACAAACAUCUGAGGGCAUGGCCGUCCACGAAGAAAAUGUAGCCAUUGGUGCCAUCUAUCGACCAUAGGCAAAGAUAGGCGAUCCGUUGGAUACCGACCGAGCUAUAGGCAAAACUUGGUGCGAAAAUGAGCCUUAGUGGAUUGACAAAUUUAUAGAUUUUUUCAAUUUUUUUCAUUAUUUUUUACCUUUUUUUAAUUUAAAGCAUUGUUUGAGUGAAAAGGAACUAAUUGCAACAAUUUCGCAUUACAAUAAAACAAAUUUUUAAAUUUUGCUAAAUUUCUCAAAAAAAUGGCAAGGGGUACCCCUUAUGAAAUUUUCGAGUGGAAAAUUUUUUUGAAAUUUUUUUCUGAUUUUUUAUUCUUUUUUUAAUUUAAAGCAUUAUUUGAGUGGAAAGAAACUUAUUGCAACAAAUUUGCAACGAAAUAUAUCACAUUUAAAAAUUUUGCUGAAUUGCAGAAAAAUGAGGAACAUUUUACAUUUUCUCAAACAGGGUAAGGAACUUAGUUCCUCGCAUAACUUCUGGCACAGACAUCUGAGGGCAUGGCCGUCCAAGAAGAAAAUGUAGCCAUUGAUGCCAUCUAUCGACCAUAGGCAAAGAUUGGAGAUCCGUUAGAUACCGACCGAGUUAUAGGCAAAACUUGGUUCAAAAAUGAGGAAAAUUUUACAUUUUCUCAAACAGGGUAAGGAACUUGGUUCUUCGCAUAACUUCUGGCACAGACAUCUGAGGGCAUGGCCGUCUACGAAGAAAAGGUAGACAUUGGUGCCAUCUAUCGA